Molecule: unclassified non-coding RNA, 1965 nt
Filed under: Hevea brasiliensis (rubber tree)
Lineage: Eukaryota; Viridiplantae; Streptophyta; Magnoliopsida; Malpighiales; Euphorbiaceae
Source: RNAcentral
UAUUAGUAGUUGGUUAAGUUUAAUUAUGGCUUAAUUUCUUACUGGAAAUUCAUUUUAUGAAAUUUAGGAUAACCCCAUUCGGAUUUUUUUGCUUUCUAUGAGCCGCCGGUGUUUUAGGCACCUUUUUUUUGUUUAGAUGAAAUUUUACAUCGCUUAAGCCGAACCCCUUUGGUGUUAAAGGUUAGUCUGUGCUUUAAUUUGGUACGCCUGCUGUGUUUUAAGUGCUUUUCGUGACCCUUGUUUGUAUUUUAUUUUUAAGGACGUUUGGUUUUUAUGUUUGAUUCAGAAGUCUUUUGUCUCAUUCUGGAUGCUGUCUGCUGAACUCCAUUGAACCUAAAAUAUGCAUUAAGUUGAACUAUUGAUGAUUAUGUGCUGUUUAUAUUGAGGCUAUGUCGUGUUUUGGGUGUGGUUAUAUUGCUUGAAUUGGAAUAUGCUUUGUGAGUUGUGACCAUUUUUGUUUUUGGAGUGUACUGCUUUUUCAAGUGCUUUUUUGGUGAGCUAUGGUUGUCCCCCAACAAAGCCAUCUAGAUUUGUCUUGGUUUUCUGCAAACAGAAGUUGGACUUUUUAAUUUACCUAAUGAAUUAAGUUGUUUAUUUCAUAAUUUGUUUAGUUUAGAAUAUUGUUUUCAUAACUUGACUGGACUAGAUUUGCAUUAAAAUGAACCAUUGUGAUUUACACUAUUUGUGCUACGGUUUUUGGUUUUUGGCCUAAUCAGUGUUUUCAGUGAACCUAGCACUAAGCCAGCUCAAAAUGUGAUAUGUAAGCUGGUCACACUUGUAUUUGAGCAUGUUUGAUUGUUUUCAUGGCAGUAUACGCUUAUAUUUUGAUGAGGUGAACCCAUCAGGGCUAAUAGUGUUUUUCUGAUGCCUGUAUGAUUUGUCGAGUGGUCUCAGUUUCUUGGAUUGACUUGUGAAGCAGGGUUAUGAUUGAUUAGUUCUGUUUUUGAUUAUUUAGUUUUGUGACUUCAAGUUUGUGGUUAGUGAACAUGCAAACUUCUACUGUGUUUGUAAGCUUCAUAUGAACCCAAUUUGUGUUGACUAUUUGGACUGCUUAACCCUUUGGGUUUCCUUUUUCGUUUUAUAAUUUUUAUUUGGAUUGCUAGAAGAACCUCACUAAUUAGUUCAAGUCUGUGUUAACUUCAUUGGUUAAUUGGGAACUUGCUAUAAAUCUAUUUUGUAUCUACAUUUUUUAAUGCAUCAAAUGCCUUGAGGUAAAGUAUGUCUUUAUUUUGCAGAUUUCGGUUUAUUCAUAGAUAAUGUGGAUCAAGUAUUUUGCGUUAUAGGAAUUAAUUUUUAAGCAGCAUAAAAUGUAUUCAUGUUUUGACUUUUGACAAUGAAUUCAUUUUCAGCAUAGGUAUAAUUGUUUUCUAUCAUUACUUUUUAUUUUUUAUAUGGUAGAGGAGGAGAGUAUCAUGGCUUGAACAUGUGAUCUCUGCCCAAUGCAUCCACCACCUGAACUAGGCUCAAGCGGUGUUCAGUUGCAUACCUGACAUGCACUGAAUUUUUCCUAAAAAAUAUUUGUCUUUAGAUAAAUGUUAAUUGGCUAUUAUAUGUAUGGGAUACAAUGUCAUCUAUGGUAAUUUUAAUUAUUUUAUGAUGUUGACAUGGCAUGUAUCUAGUUUAAUUGCUCUAUUGCUAUAUUUAAACUUCCUAUAAAUGUCCAGAACUUCAUUUGAGAUGCAUUGGUGCAGUACAGUUGUCUGAUGCGUUGGGAUGUAGGAGUUUGUAUAGGUUAGGAAAGAAAUCAAGGUAAGCAAUAUAACAGGACUUGUAUUCAAUUUGAGUAAGGUCAGUGUUAUUAAGGCGAGAGGCUACACUAAGGCAAUAGGGGACUCUAUGGUCUUAGGCAAGAGGCGAGGUGUAGGCCUUUUUGAAGUGAGGCACCAUAGCCUCAAUUACGCGCACACGCACACACACGCGCGCACACGCACACACGCACGAACGCACACACACUUUUAAUAUAAA